UUGCUAUUUCAGCUCCAGUUGUUGCAGUAGCUUCUCCGUCCGCACUGAGAGCUUUGUUAAAUCUCAUCUCACAAGUUGAUAGUUGCAACAACUCCAUUGCCUGCAUUGGUGAGACCACUGCCUCAGCAGCGAAGAAAUUGGGCCUGAAGAGCAUAUAUUAUCCUACAACCCCUGGACUUGAAGGGUGGGUCGAAAGCAUUCUUGAAGCUCUCAGAGUCCAUAGGGAAUCAAAAAAGGUUCUUCUCUUAUCCUUGCCACACGGUACACUUCCCUUCAUUUUCUUGGUUUCGUUCGUCAUAUGGCCUUCCCUGUUUCUGCAGUAGGCCCCAAAGUGUUGAAAACGAGCA
This is a long non-coding RNA of Phragmites australis (common reed), 347 nucleotides long. RefSeq lists it as uncharacterized. Lineage: Eukaryota; Viridiplantae; Streptophyta; Magnoliopsida; Poales; Poaceae. The record is from RefSeq and is a predicted model, not a curated record. The transcript is spliced from 3 exons.